RNAcentral lists this ribosomal RNA (248 nucleotides) under uncultured bacterium. Its description in RNAcentral is "partial 16S ribosomal RNA". It matches the Rfam family "Bacterial small subunit ribosomal RNA", at positions 523 to 769 of the family's 1533-position model. The record is from RNAcentral.
AUACGGAGGAUGCGAGCGUUAUCCGGAUUCGAUUGGGUUUAAAGGGUGCGUAGGCGGACUAUUAAGUCAGUGGUGAAAUCCUGCAGCUUAACUGUAGAACUGCCAUUGAUACUGAUAGCCUUGAGUUUGGUUAAGGUAGGCGGAAUGUGUAAUGUAGCGGUGAAAUGCUUAGAUAUUACACAGAACACCAAUUGCGUAGGCAGCUUACUGAGCCGACACUGACGCUGAGGCACGAAAGCGUGGGGAUC